UCCCUGUGAAGACGGUAAAUGGUGGGUUUC
RNAcentral lists this non-coding RNA (30 nucleotides) under Homo sapiens (human). The record is from RNAcentral. Lineage: Eukaryota; Metazoa; Chordata; Mammalia; Primates; Hominidae.